GGUAGUGACACGGGGUGCCCUGCCAAACGGCCGGGGCUGAGAAAACACCCGUUGAACCUGAUCUAGUUCGUACUAGCGAAGGGAUGUCCCGGAUGACCAUC
This 101-nucleotide non-coding RNA is filed under the name Cryobacterium sp. Its description in RNAcentral is "TPP sequence". It matches the Rfam family "TPP riboswitch aptamer (THI element)". From Rfam's summary of the family: Vitamin B(1) in its active form thiamin pyrophosphate (TPP) is an essential coenzyme that is synthesised by coupling of pyrimidine and thiazole moieties in bacteria. The previously detected thiamin-regulatory element, thi box was extended, resulting in a new, highly conserved RNA secondary structure, the THI element, which is widely distributed in eubacteria and also occurs in some archaea. Analysis of operon structures identified a large number of new candidate thiamin-regulated genes, mostly transporters, in various prokaryotic organisms. Lineage: Bacteria; Bacillati; Actinomycetota; Actinomycetes; Micrococcales; Microbacteriaceae. The record is from RNAcentral.